GACGAACGCUGGCGGCGUGCCUAAUACAUGCAAGUCGAACGCUGAAGGUGGAGCUUGCUCUUCUGGUUGAGUUGCGAACGGGUGAGUAACGCGUAGGUAACCUGCCUGGUAGCGUGGGAUAACUAUUGGAAACUAUAGCUAAUACCGCAUAAGAGCAGAUGUUGCAUGACAUUUACUUAAAAGUUGCAAUUGCAUCACUACCAGAUGGACCUGCGUUGUAUUAGCUAGUUGGUGGGGUAACCGCUUACCAAGGCGGCGAUCCAGAGCAGACCGGAGAGGGUGAUCGGCCAGACUGAGACGGUGACACGGCACAGAGGCCUACGGGAAGCAGCAGUACGGAAACGUGAGCAAUGGGCGGAAGUCUGUGCGAGAUAGGCGGAGUGAGUGAAGAAGGUUGUCGGGUCGUAGAGCUCUGUUGUCGGGGAAGAACGAGCGUGAGAGUGGAAAGAUCACACUGUGACGGUAUCUUACCAGAAAGGAACGGCUAACUACGUG
Molecule: ribosomal RNA, 495 nt
Filed under: uncultured bacterium
Lineage: Bacteria
Description: partial 16S ribosomal RNA
Rfam family: Bacterial small subunit ribosomal RNA
Source: RNAcentral